This 1111-nucleotide ribosomal RNA is filed under the name Bettsia alvei. RNAcentral's name for it is "SSU rRNA". It matches the Rfam family "Eukaryotic small subunit ribosomal RNA", at positions 31 to 1151 of the family's 1831-position model. Lineage: Eukaryota; Fungi; Ascomycota; Leotiomycetes. The record is from RNAcentral.
CUUGUCUCAAAGAUUAAGCCAUGCAUGUCUAAGUAUAAGCAAUCUAUACAGUGAAACUGCGAAUGGCUCAUUAAAUCAGUUAUAGUUUAUUUGAUAGUACCUUACUACUUGGAUAACCGUGGUAAUUCUAGAGCUAAUACAUGCUAAAAACCCCGACUUCGGAAGGGGUGUAUUUAUUAGAUAAAAAACCAAUGCCCUUCGGGGCUCCCUGGUGAUUCAUAAUAACUUAACGAAUCGCAUGGCCUUGUGCCGGCGAUGGUUCAUUCAAAUUUCUGCCCUAUCAACUUUCGAUGGUAGGAUAGUGGCCUACCAUGGUUUCAACGGGUAACGGGGAAUUAGGGUUCGAUUCCGGAGAGGGAGCCUGAGAAACGGCUGCCACAUCCAAGGAAGGCAGCAGGCGCGCAAAUUACCCAAUCCCGACACGGGGAGGUAGUGACAAUAAAUACCGAUACAGGGCUCAUUAGGGUCUUGUAAUUGGAAUGAGUACAAUUUAAACCCCUUAACGAGGAACAAUUGGAGGGCAAGUCUGGUGCCAGCAGCCGCGGUAAUUCCAGCUCCAAUAGCGUAUAUUAAAGUUGUUGCAGUUAAAAAGCUCGUAGUUGAACCUUGGGCCUGGCUGGCCGGUCCGCCUCACCGCGUGCACUGGUCCGGCCGGGCCUUUCCUCCUGGGGAACCGCAUGCCCUUCACUGGGUGUGUCGGGGAACCAGGACUUUUACUUUGAAAAAAUUAGAGUGUUCAAAGCAGGCCUAUGCUCGAAUACAUUAGCAUGGAAUAAUAGAAUAGGACGUGUGGUUCUAUUUUGUUGGUUUCUAGGACCGCCGUAAUGAUUAAUAGGGAUAGUCGGGGGCAUCAGUAUUCAACUGUCAGAGGUGAAAUUCUUGGAUUUGUUGAAGACUAACUACUGCGAAAGCAUUUGCCAAGGAUGUUUUCAUUAAUCAGGAACGAAAGUUAGGGGAUCGAAGACGAUCAGAUACCGUCGUAGUCUUAACCAUAAACUAUGCCGACUAGGGAUCGGGCGAUGUUAUCUUUUUGACUCGCUCGGCACCUUACGAGAAAUCAAAGUUUUUGGGUUCUGGGGGGAGUAUGGUCGCAAGGCUGAAACUUAAAGGA